RNAcentral lists this transfer RNA (76 nucleotides) under Edwardsiella tarda. RNAcentral describes it as "tRNA-Asn". It matches the Rfam family "tRNA". From Rfam's summary of the family: Transfer RNA (tRNA) molecules are approximately 80 nucleotides in length. Their secondary structure includes four short double-helical elements and three loops (D, anti-codon, and T loops). RNAcentral also lists the same sequence under 1 other name. The record is from RNAcentral. Lineage: Bacteria; Pseudomonadati; Pseudomonadota; Gammaproteobacteria; Enterobacterales; Hafniaceae.
GGUGGGGAAGCACAUACGGAUGUGCGGCAGGCUGUUAACCUGAUGGUAUAGGGUUCGAGUCCCUAACCCACCGCCA